RNAcentral lists this non-coding RNA (30 nucleotides) under Mus musculus (house mouse). The record is from RNAcentral. Lineage: Eukaryota; Metazoa; Chordata; Mammalia; Rodentia; Muridae.
UGAUAUUCUAUAAGUCAGCCCUUUAAAAUA